AGUCGCACGGUUAGUCAGAUAGGCAGAUAGUGACGGUUAGUUGGUAUGAAGUCUGUAUCAAUUCUGUAUCGUUAUCGCUCGAGUUCGACGUGCGUCACGUUACGAUCUAAAACGACGGACACUCGACAUCGAAAUAAACAUCGUUGAAGUUAAACACCGGAGUACUUUAAUAACACCCAACACGUCCUUACCACGUCAGAUUGCCCGCCGAAAGUGCACGAACGCCAGUCUACCGAUGACCCUACCAACAUCCGUGCAGUACGCUAUAAUCAUCCUCGAAUCAACGGAAUCAAGGUUUGUAUCGAAGCAAUUUGUUUCAGGGAGGAUGAAAGUUGGAUGUUUGUCGAAAAUACGAUUGCUAAUUUCACGUAGUCGCGAAGGAAACGCGUUAUUUAUGGCUACCCUUAAUAACAUCGUUUCGGCACCGCCCCCACCUAUUGGCCAUCGCGACCAACGAGGGAAAAGGCCAGGCAAAGUGGCGCAACGGAUGUGAUAUAUUAGCCAGUUAAGGGUUAAGAUGUUCACCGUUUCUCGAGUAAUAUCGAACACGACCUCCAGCGUCUGGGAUAACCGGCCCUUGGCGUUACUCUCCUCGUGGGCGGUGUGCAGGUGCCUCUGAUUCCUUUUACAAGUAGUGCCAGACCGCGUAACAACAGCCUACGCCCUUCUUCAUCCUCCAACCAUUGCACCUUCGGGAACAGGCCGACUAACAGCCGCGGCUUUACGAUCGAACAUCGUUUUCUUGCCUCGCGUCGCGUUUUAUGUUCCUUUGUUUCGUCCACUUUCUGCUCUCUCGGCUUUCGUUGUGUCUCGAGCGAAUGCCUCCCGGAGGAAUGUGGUUUUCAUUCAUAGAAACAUUGCUAUAUAGCGCGAUAUUAAUAGGACUGCCGAGACAAAAACGAGUUCCUCGAGCAUGAAAUAAUAGACACGUCGAGGUGUCUGAAUGGAUCGGUAUGCGGUGUUAGGAUGAUCGGUAUGUGAUGUUGCAUAGAUGAAUCUUUGGGGUAUUUGGCAAAGCGAGAUAACCGCGUGAUGUGGGCGAGCGAAGCAAUAUGAAUGAAAUUUUGAUCGACAGGAUAGGUACGCUAAUAUUUUCUACGUUGCUGUCUUUUGUUUAAGACAGUGUCGGGUGAAAUUUUAUCUGUCUAUUGUAUAAUAAAUAAGAAAUUAAAGUGAUAUUUUAGUUGAGUUUAGCGAAUAAGAAUGAAAUUUCUUAUUUAAAUAAGAACGAUGCCAGAAGUAAUUUAUUUAUUAUUUCCUAUUUGCAGAUGAAAUUUGAUUAUUUAUUUGGACUUCAUUGGGAAGCAAACGAUAAUACACGAAUAAAUAAUCUGUAGAAUUUAGAGUUUAGGAUGUUGAAAUAUUGAAAAGAUUGUAUCGAAGAAUGAUAUGAUCAGAGUGAUGAAAUUUUUUAAUAUCCUGGAAUCUACUGUAGAAAGACUUCAAAUGCAACCAAAAGAAGUUAAAAUCUUGUCCAAUGCAACAAUAACGAAGAAAACUACAGAAAAGUACAGCACAAAAUGUAUGAAAACACUGAUAAAUGUGUUCGAUAAAUUCCUUUCAAGGAGAUUUUAUUGUAUCAACGUAUACAUAUGUAGACAUAAUUUAAUUUCCAAGCAUAGGUAUAACGAUGGGUACACUGUUCCCUGUCCCGACCUACGACAAAUCGACGUCAACGACCCGCUGUUAAUCGACUUAACAUGAUAAUAGGCUGAAGAAUCGUGGCACGUUUGCCUCCUCGAGAAAGUUCGAUUCACGUGUGCAAGGAAGUCGAUUACACGAAGAAGCAAGACUCCGACUUGAAGACCUACGACAGAGGAUAGUCCGUCUGUAAUCCGAACUAACACGCCAUCGCUCUUUCACGACCGCGAACAUCUUUCUAUUGCGUGGUCGGUGCCCUCCCUUUCGUAAACUCUAGCCAUUGGUAGACUGCUGAUAUUUAUGCAAAUUCAUAUUUUAAAUAUCAUCUGAGACUAUCUUUAAGUAAUAUUUCUUAUUCUAAGAUAAUAACUAAAAAGAAACAAAAGAAAAUAUGACCCACACGUUUGAAACGUGAAAAUUGUUUAACGUUGAAGAAACUAUUUCAAGAAAAACUCUACAUCUUUAUUUAUAUAUAUCCGUGACCUAUGACCUGGAGGCUGCUAUUACGCAGAAAUAUUCUAAAUAAGGAGAGGAUUGUACCCUUGAAUAUACAUUAUGUUUUGGGUUGCAAGGUCUAGGAACAAAGUAGCCUGUAGCCUCUAGCCAAAGCUGUAAGCUUAACUUUUUUGGUAAUGUCCUUUUGCUGUAAAUAUAUGAACCUGCUCCCUAUCUUUCCAUUGUCUAGUAACACUAAGAGAGUAAGGAUCUGACUCAGCAUAAACUUAUACAUUAUACUUAUAUCUUUAGUUAUUUCAAUAUAUUUUUCUAUUACAAAUUCAUCCACUCGUUCUUCGAUCAGUCAACAUCAACCUCAACAUUUAAUAUAUUGAAUAUAAGGAGGAAUACUCUAGGUAUUUUAGGUAUUUUAUAUGUUUUUGCAUAUUAUUACGUUAGCCAAUAAUUUGGUAGUGGAAUUAAACAGCAGAUACGAUACUUUGUUGUUGGAGACAGAUGAGAAUUUUGAUAAACGUGGGAUUAUGGAACUGUCCGAAAUAUGAGAAAAGAUUAUAAAUCAGAAUGGACAAUACAUUAUUGAACGAAGAUAUUUCCUAUAAUAAGAAGAAUUACAUUUUAUUUACACGUGGAAAACUACACUAAUUUUUCGGCCUAUAUAUAUCCAUCGAGACAACGACAGUGAGAUCCGUUAUAACGAGACGUGAAAAAGUGCACGCGUACCGAGCGAAAAUUCAAAGUC
RNA transcript from Bombus pyrosoma, 2836 nucleotides. RefSeq lists it as uncharacterized. Lineage: Eukaryota; Metazoa; Arthropoda; Insecta; Hymenoptera; Apidae. The transcript is spliced from 2 exons. The record is from RefSeq and is a predicted model, not a curated record.